AUUUAAGCCUCGGGGUGGUCGCAAGGCCUGAGAUUCACCAAUUGGUGUAGACCCGAUGAACCUGAUCCGGUUAAUACCGGCGUAGGGACAGGCGGCAACACCUCUC
RNAcentral lists this non-coding RNA (106 nucleotides) under Methylophaga frappieri. RNAcentral's name for it is "TPP sequence". It matches the Rfam family "TPP riboswitch aptamer (THI element)". Rfam says of the family: Vitamin B(1) in its active form thiamin pyrophosphate (TPP) is an essential coenzyme that is synthesised by coupling of pyrimidine and thiazole moieties in bacteria. Lineage: Bacteria; Pseudomonadati; Pseudomonadota; Gammaproteobacteria; Thiotrichales; Piscirickettsiaceae. The record is from Rfam by way of RNAcentral.